AAAAAGGGUUCCUGUCAUGAGUGACACACGUAGGGCAGCUCAUUCGCUCUAUGUGCAGAAUCGACAUCGAGAUUUUGGGAGCAUAAUUUUUAUUUGUUUGGGCAGCUGGUGAUCGGUGGGUCCCA
This 125-nucleotide small nuclear RNA is filed under the name Erinaceus europaeus (western European hedgehog). RNAcentral's name for it is "U11 spliceosomal RNA (ENSEEUG00000019509.1)". It matches the Rfam family "U11 spliceosomal RNA". Lineage: Eukaryota; Metazoa; Chordata; Mammalia; Eulipotyphla; Erinaceidae. The record is from RNAcentral.